Molecule: ribosomal RNA, 436 nt
Filed under: uncultured bacterium
Lineage: Bacteria
Description: bacterial SSU rRNA
Rfam family: Bacterial small subunit ribosomal RNA
Source: RNAcentral
CCGGAAGGCAGGAGUGCCUGCAAGGGAGCGCGGAGACAGGUGGUGCAUGGCUGUCGUCAGCUCGUGUCGUGAGAUGUUGGGUUAAGUCCCGCAACGAGCGCAACCCUCACCUCUUGUUGCCAUCAGGUCAUGCUGGGCACUCUAGGGGAACUGCCCCGGUCAACGGGGAGGAAGGCGGGGAUGACGUCAAGUCAUCAUGCCCCCUACGUCCUGGGCUACACACGUGCUACAAUGGCCGGUACAAAGGGAUGCCACACCGCGAGGUAGAGCUAAACCCAAAAAGCCGGUCUAAGUUCGGAUUGGGGUCUGCAACUCGACUCCAUGAAGGAGGAAUCGCUAGUAAUCGCGUAUCAGCACGACGCGGUGAAUACGUUCCCGGGCCUUGUACACACCGCCCGUCACACCACGAAAGCUAGCUGUACUCGAAGUCGCUGAG